GACGAACGCUGGCGGCGUGCCUAAUACAUGCAAGUCGAGCGCAGGAAAUCGACGGAACCCUUCGGGGGGAAGUCGACGGAAUGAGCGGCGGACGGGUGAGUAACACGUAAAGAACCUGCCCUCAGGUCUGGGAUAACCACGAGAAAUCGGGGCUAAUACCGGAUGGGUCAUCGGACCGCAUGGCCCGAGGAUGAAAGGCGCUUCGGCGUCGCCUGGGGAUGGCUUUGCGGGGCAUUAGCUAGUUGGUGGGGUAAUGGCCCACCAAGGCGACGAUGCAUAGCCGACCUGAGAGGGUGAUCGGCCACACUGGGACUGAGACACGGCCCAGACUCCUACGGGAGGCAGCAGUAGGGAAUCUUCCACAAUGGACGAAAGUCUGAUGGAGCAACGCCGCGUGAACGAUGAAGGCCUUCGGGUCGUAAAGUUCUGUUGUAAGGGAAGAACAAGUGCCGCAGGCAAUGGCGGCACCUUGACGGUACCUUGCGAGAAAGCCACGGCUAACUACGUGCCAGCCGCCGCCGUAA
RNAcentral lists this ribosomal RNA (524 nucleotides) under uncultured bacterium. RNAcentral describes it as "partial 16S ribosomal RNA". It matches the Rfam family "Bacterial small subunit ribosomal RNA", at positions 28 to 523 of the family's 1533-position model. The record is from RNAcentral.